Molecule: ribosomal RNA, 253 nt
Filed under: uncultured bacterium
Lineage: Bacteria
Description: partial 16S ribosomal RNA
Rfam family: Bacterial small subunit ribosomal RNA
Source: RNAcentral
UACGGAGGGUGCAAGCGUUGUCCGGAUUUAUUGGGUUUAAAGGGUGCGUAGGCGGCCCGUUAAGUCAGUGGUGAAAGCCUCCAGCUCAACUGGAGAACUGCCAUUGAUACUGACGGGCUUGAGUACAGACGAGGUUGGCGGAAUUGAUUGUGUAGCGGUGAAAUGCAUAGAUACAAUCAAGAACUUCGAUUGCGUAGGCAGCUAACUAGGCUGUAACUGACGCUGAGGCACGAAAGCGUGGGGAGCGAACAGG